This 368-nucleotide ribosomal RNA is filed under the name uncultured organism. Its description in RNAcentral is "partial 16S ribosomal RNA". It matches the Rfam family "Bacterial small subunit ribosomal RNA", at positions 527 to 896 of the family's 1533-position model. The record is from RNAcentral.
GGAAGGAGCGAGCGUUGUUCGGAUUUACUGGGCGUAAAGGGCACGUAGGCGGGCUUCGUAAGUUGGAUGUGAAAUCCUACCGCUUAACGGUAGAACUGCAUUCAAAACUACGAGGCUUGAGUUCAGGGGAAGAGAGUGGAAUUCUCGGUGUAGCGGUGAAAUGCGUAGAUAUCGAGAAGAACACCGGAGGCGAAGGCGACUCUCUAUUCUGAAACUGACGCUGAGGUGCGAAAGCCAGGGGAGCGAACGGGAUUAGAUACCCCGGUAGUCCUGGCCGUAAACGAUGUGCACUUGGUGUUGGGCUGCGAAGUCCAGUGCCGAAGCUAACGCAUUAAGUGCACCGCCUGGGGAGUACGACCGCAAGGUUG